RNAcentral lists this small nuclear RNA (180 nucleotides) under Zea mays. RNAcentral's name for it is "U2 spliceosomal RNA". It matches the Rfam family "U2 spliceosomal RNA". Rfam says of the family: U2 is a small nuclear RNA (snRNA) component of the spliceosome (involved in pre-mRNA splicing). Complementary binding between U2 snRNA (in an area lying towards the 5' end but 3' to hairpin I) and the branchpoint sequence (BPS) of the intron results the bulging out of an unpaired adenosine, on the BPS, which initiates a nucleophilic attack at the intronic 5' splice site, thus starting the first of two transesterification reactions that mediate splicing. Lineage: Eukaryota; Viridiplantae; Streptophyta; Magnoliopsida; Poales; Poaceae. The record is from Rfam by way of RNAcentral.
AUACCUUUCUAGGCCUUUUGGCUAAAAUGAAGUGUAAUAUUUGUUCUUAUUAGUUUAGUAUCUGAUAUGUGGACCAUAUGUUCACUUCGAUAGUAAAUUUAUUUUUUAGGAUAUGAAAUAUGAUUGUGUGUCAUCGCAACGCACGGGCAUUGUACUAGUGUAUGUUUAUUUGUGAGUUGA